CCUACGGGUGGCAGCAGUGAGGAAUAUUGGUCAAUGGACGCAAGGCUGAACCAGCCAAGUCGCGUGCAGGAUGACGGCCCUCCGGGUUGUAAACUGCUUUUAGUUGGGAAUAAAAGGGGGCUCGUGAGCCCCGUAUUGUAUGUACCAUCAGAAAGAGGACCGGCUAAUUCCGUGCCAGCCGGCGCGGUAAUACGGAAGGUCCGGGUGUUAUCCGGAUUUAUUGGGUUUAAAGGGAGCGUAGGCCGGCUUUUAAGUGAGCUGGGAAAGUCCGGGGCUCAACCGUGGAAUUGCAGUUGAAACUGGAGGCCGUGAGUGCACAAAGGGAAGCCGGAAGUCAUGGUGUAGCGGUGAAAUGCUUAGAUAUCAUGAAGAACUCCGAUCGCGAAGGCAAGUGUCCGGGGUGCAACUGACGCUGAGGCUCGAAAGUGCGGGUAUCAAACAGGAUUAGAUACCCUAGUAGUC
This 462-nucleotide ribosomal RNA is filed under the name uncultured bacterium. RNAcentral's name for it is "partial 16S ribosomal RNA". It matches the Rfam family "Bacterial small subunit ribosomal RNA", at positions 338 to 795 of the family's 1533-position model. The record is from RNAcentral.